CACAAGAUGUUAGCGGUGUCCCGGUGAUACAUCCUUUAAAAAUAAAAAGCCAGUCGCAAAUGACUGGCUUUUUA
This 74-nucleotide unclassified non-coding RNA is filed under the name Yersinia enterocolitica (type O:5) str. YE53/03. The record is from RNAcentral. Lineage: Bacteria; Pseudomonadati; Pseudomonadota; Gammaproteobacteria; Enterobacterales; Yersiniaceae.